RNAcentral lists this long non-coding RNA (874 nucleotides) under Homo sapiens (human). Its description in RNAcentral is "HSALNT0361708". Lineage: Eukaryota; Metazoa; Chordata; Mammalia; Primates; Hominidae. The record is from RNAcentral.
UUUUGCUGGCUUUUUAAAAAAGAUUCUUCUGAGAAAGAUUAAUACAAGUCUUCCAUUACUGACUUAAGUGAAAUAAAUUAAUGUACCCACAGCUUACCUUUUUUGAAAGAAAUGGUUGAGCUUUAGGAUUAAUGUCCAUUAGGCCUGUUCAACACAUAGAUACUUGAUAAUUUGACUACAAAAAAGUCUUGUUGCAGUGAGCUGAGAUCGCACCAUUGCACUCCAGCCUGGGCAACAAGAGUGAAACUCCAUCUCAAAAGAAAAAAAAAAGCGGCUGGGCUCUGUGGCUCAUGCUUGUAACCCCAGCACUUUGGGAGGCCAAGAGGUGGAUCACCUGAGGUCAAGAAUUUGAGACCAACCUGGCCAACAUGGUGAAACCCCAUCUGUACUAAACAUACAAAAAUUAGCCAAGUGUGGUGGCGCACGCCUGUAGUCCCAGAAGGCUGAAGCAGGAGAAUUACUUGAACCCUGGAGGUGGAGGUUGCGGUGAGCUGAGAUCGUGCCACUGCACUCCAGCCUGGGCGACAGAGCGAGACUCUGCCUCAAAAAAAAAUUAAAAAAAAAAAGCUUUAUAAUUAUAGAGACUGUAAGUCUUGGGAAACCUGGGAAUGCAUAGACAAAAUGUGAGAUUUUUUUUUUUUCAUUUCAUCUUCAGGGUCUUUACGGAAUAAAGGAUGAUGUCUUCCUUAGUGUUCCUUGCAUUUUGGGACAGAAUGGAAUCUCAGACCUUGUGAAGGUGACUCUGACUUCUGAGGAAGAGGCCCGUUUGAAGAAGAGUGCAGAUACACUUUGGGGGAUCCAAAAGGAGCUGCAAUUUUAAAGUCUUCUGAUGUCAUAUCAUUUCACUGUCUAGGCUACAACAGGAUUCUAGGUG